UGGGGAAUAUUGCACAAUGGGCGAAAGCCUGAUGCAGCAACGCCGCGUGAGUGAUGAAGGCCUUCGGGUCGUAAAGCUCUUUGAUCAGGGAUGAUAAUGACAGUACCUGAAAAACAAGCCACGGCUAACUACGUGCCAGCAGCCGCGGUAAUACGUAGGUGGCGAGCGUUGUCCGGAAUUAUUGGGCGUAAAGGAUGCGUAGGUGGAUAUUUAAGUGGGAUGUGAAAUCCCCGGGCUCAACCCGGGAACUGCAUUCCAUACUGGAUGUCUAGAGUGCAGGAGAGGAAAGCGGAAUUCCUAGUGUAGCGGUGAAAUGCGUAGAUAUUAGGAGGAACACCAGUGGCGAAGGCGGCUUUCUGGACUGUAACUGACACUGAGGCAUGAAAGCGUGGGUAGCAAACAGG
This 404-nucleotide ribosomal RNA is filed under the name uncultured prokaryote. RNAcentral describes it as "bacterial SSU rRNA". It matches the Rfam family "Bacterial small subunit ribosomal RNA", at positions 355 to 776 of the family's 1533-position model. The record is from RNAcentral. RNAcentral also lists the same sequence under 1 other name.